GAGUUUGAUCAUGGCUCAGAUUGAACGCUGGCGGCAGGCCUAACACAUGCAAGUCGAGCGGUAGCACAAGAGAGCUUGCUCUCUGGGUGACGAGCGGCGGACGGGUGAGUAAUGUCUGGGAAACUGCCUGAUGGCGGGGGAUAACUAGUGGAAACGGUAGCUAAUACCGCAUAACGUCGCAAGACCAAAGUGGGGGCCCUUCGGGCCUCACGCCAUCAGAUGUGCCCAGGUGGGAUUAGCUGGUAGGUGAGGUAACGGCUCACCUAGGCGACGAUCCCUAGCUGGUCUGAGAGGAUGACCAGCCACACUGGAACUGAGACACGGUCCAGACUCCUACGGGAGGCAGCAGUGGGGAAUAUUGCACAAUGGGCGCAAGCCUGAUGCAGCCAUGCCGCGUGUGUGAAGAAGGCCUUCGGGUUGUAAAGCACUUUCAGCGAGGAGGAAGGGUAAUGUGUUAAU
Molecule: ribosomal RNA, 459 nt
Filed under: Serratia symbiotica
Lineage: Bacteria; Pseudomonadati; Pseudomonadota; Gammaproteobacteria; Enterobacterales; Yersiniaceae
Description: bacterial SSU rRNA
Rfam family: Bacterial small subunit ribosomal RNA
Source: RNAcentral